CCUACGGGCGGCAGCAGUGGGGAAUAUUGCGCAAUGGGCGAAAGCCUGACGCAGCGACGCCGCGUGAGGGAUGAAGGUCUUCGGAUCGUAAACCUCUGUCAGCAGGGAAGAACGGUCACUGUGUUAAUCAGCAGUGAAUUGACGGUACCUGCAAAGGAAGCACCGGCUAACUCCGUGCCAGCAGCCGCGGUAAUACGGAGGGUGCGAGCGUUAAUCGGAAUUACUGGGCGUAAAGCGCUCGUAGGCGGUAUGUCAAGUCAAGGGUGAAAUCCCCGCGCUCAACGUGGGAACUGCCUUUGAUACUGGCAAACUGGAGUGUGUGAGAGGAUAGUGGAAUUCCAGGUGUAGGAGUGAAAUGCGUAGAUAUCUGGAGGAAUAUCAGUGGCGAAGGCGACUAUCUGGCACAUAACUGACGCUCAGGUGCGAAAGCGUGGGUAGCAAACAGGAUUAGAUACCCGUGUAGUC
RNAcentral lists this ribosomal RNA (465 nucleotides) under uncultured bacterium. RNAcentral's name for it is "partial 16S ribosomal RNA". It matches the Rfam family "Bacterial small subunit ribosomal RNA", at positions 338 to 795 of the family's 1533-position model. The record is from RNAcentral.